This is a small nuclear RNA of Erinaceus europaeus (western European hedgehog), 99 nucleotides long. The record is from Ensembl. Lineage: Eukaryota; Metazoa; Chordata; Mammalia; Eulipotyphla; Erinaceidae.
GUGUAUGCUAAGGCAACACAUAUAGUAAAAUUGGAAUGCUACAGUGCAUGGUCCCUGUGCAAGGAUGACAUGCAAAAUCAAAUAGUCAAAACAGUCUGG